This 1113-nucleotide ribosomal RNA is filed under the name Enterococcus durans. Its description in RNAcentral is "bacterial SSU rRNA". It matches the Rfam family "Bacterial small subunit ribosomal RNA", at positions 78 to 1177 of the family's 1533-position model. The record is from RNAcentral. Lineage: Bacteria; Bacillati; Bacillota; Bacilli; Lactobacillales; Enterococcaceae.
CACCGGAAAAAGAAGAGUGGCGAACGGGUGAGUAACACGUGGGUAACCUGCCCAUCAGAAGGGGAUAACACUUGGAAACAGGUGCUAAUACCGUAUAACAAUCGAAACCGCAUGGUUUUGAUUUGAAAGGCGCUUUCGGGUGUCGCUGAUGGAUGGACCCGCGGUGCAUUAGCUAGUUGGUGAGGUAACGGCUCACCAAGGCCACGAUGCAUAGCCGACCUGAGAGGGUGAUCGGCCACAUUGGGACUGAGACACGGCCCAAACUCCUACGGGAGGCAGCAGUAGGGAAUCUUCGGCAAUGGACGAAAGUCUGACCGAGCAACGCCGCGUGAGUGAAGAAGGUUUUCGGAUCGUAAAACUCUGUUGUUAGAGAAGAACAAGGAUGAGAGUAACUGUUCAUCCCUUGACGGUAUCUAACCAGAAAGCCACGGCUAACUACGUGCCAGCAGCCGCGGUAAUACGUAGGUGGCAAGCGUUGUCCGGAUUUAUUGGGCGUAAAGCGAGCGCAGGCGGUUUCUUAAGUCUGAUGUGAAAGCCCCCGGCUCAACCGGGGAGGGUCAUUGGAAACUGGGAGACUUGAGUGCAGAAGAGGAGAGUGGAAUUCCAUGUGUAGCGGUGAAAUGCGUAGAUAUAUGGAGGAACACCAGUGGCGAAGGCGGCUCUCUGGUCUGUAACUGACGCUGAGGCUCGAAAGCGUGGGGAGCAAACAGGAUUAGAUACCCUGGUAGUCCACGCCGUAAACGAUGAGUGCUAAGUGUUGGAGGGUUUCCGCCCUUCAGUGCUGCAGCUAACGCAUUAAGCACUCCGCCUGGAGAGUACGACCGCAAGGUUGAAACUCAAAGGAAUUGACGGGGGCCCGCACAAGCGGUGGAGCAUGUGGUUUAAUUCGAAGCAACGCGAAGAACCUUACCAGGUCUUGACAUCCUUUGACCACUCUAGAGAUAGAGCUUCCCCUUCGGGGGCAAAGUGACAGGUGGUGCAUGGUUGUCGUCAGCUCGUGUCGUGAGAUGUUGGGUUAAGUCCCGCAACGAGCGCAACCCUUUAUUGUUAGUUGCCAUCAUUUAGUUGGGCACUCUAGCAAGACUGCCGGUGAACAACCAGAAGGAAGGUGAG